Long non-coding RNA from Crotalus tigris (Tiger rattlesnake), 679 nucleotides. RefSeq lists it as uncharacterized. The record is from RefSeq and is a predicted model, not a curated record. Lineage: Eukaryota; Metazoa; Chordata; Lepidosauria; Squamata; Viperidae. The transcript has 5 exons.
UGUUGGGAGCCUGUUGCUCCCGCUAAGUCUCCGCCGGGUGGGCGAUAGAAAACCGGCGAGAACUGCUGCGAGCGGUCGCUUUCCCCAGCCGCUGUCUGUUUGCAGCGCUCGGGGAGCCUUUGCCGUCAAAGCGCUCGGAUGUGGGCGGAUCUCCUUGCUUCGAUUCUCCGAUGCCAGCUUCUGCCCGGCUGUCCUCCCGCGACGCCUGCCUGCCUUCGUCACCUGAAGUUUUAGCUCUUCUCUUCCACGGGGGGGGGGGGGUGAGCCCCAGCGUGCACCUUUUUGGUUGCCUUGUGGUCUCGCCGGGCGAAUCUGCAACUUCAGCGCGAGACAGAAAGCCUGUCCUACUCAGGCAGAGAGGGCCUGCUUCAGAUCCUGUUGGUCAAAGAACCCCCAUCUAUCAGGAUCCAGAAGAAGAUCUCUGCUGCAGCACCCACAUUUUGGAACUCCUUAUCUUGUAAGGAAGCUGAUGAGUUAACUCCUUCGGAAGCCUACCAGCUGCUAUUGCUGUCACACUGCAAGAAUGAGGAAAGUUACACCACAUUGUUGAAUCAUCACUUGUAAUCAACUACUAUUCCCAGAUCUUUUUCACAAGUACUACUGCCAAGCCAGUUCCUUUGGUUCCCUGUCCAUGGGGUUCAGGACUUCAGAAAAAUUCCUGAUGUUCUCUUUGAAAGCG